GGGGCUGACUGGCUUUGACAGCGUGUAGAGGUGGUGUGUAAGCAUGCAGAGCAAUGAUGGCUACGCUCUAUAAUCUGGGACAUCAAAAUUUCAAAUGGCGAAAACAACUACGCUCUUGCUGCCUGAUUGAAGCACAGUAGAUCGGCUUAAUCUCCGCAACAGUUGCGGAGACAAGACAUCGCCCGAUUGUCGUCGUCCCGAGACUAAUCGACAAGGCGGUGCAGGUAAAUCGGGAAUAGGAGUCUGAAAGCCUCGCGAAGACUCCGAAACUUCAGAGGAUAAGGAAACGGUUGGUGGUCUUUAGCCUGUCGGUUCACGAAAAUCAAGUAGAGACUAAGCAUGUAGAAAGCUCAUUAGUUCCACGUUUGGACGAGGGUUCGACUCCCUCCAGCUCCACCA
Molecule: transfer-messenger RNA, 399 nt
Filed under: Paramuribaculum sp.
Lineage: Bacteria; Pseudomonadati; Bacteroidota; Bacteroidia; Bacteroidales; Muribaculaceae
Rfam family: transfer-messenger RNA
About the family: Bacterial tmRNA, also known as 10Sa RNA or SsrA, is named for its dual tRNA and mRNA-like properties. Its role is to liberate the mRNA from a stalled ribosome.
Source: RNAcentral